GACGAACGCUGGCGGCGUGCCUAAUACAUGCAAGUCGAGCGAGCGGAACCAACAGAUUUACUUCGGUAAUGACGUUGGGAAAGCGAGCGGCGGAUGGGUGAGUAACACGUGGGGAACCUGCCCCUAAGUCUGGGAUACCAUUUGGAAACAGGUGCUAAUACCGGAUAAUAAAGCAGAUCGCAUGAUCAGCUUUUGAAAGGCGGCGUAAGCUGUCGCUAAGGGAUGGCCCCGCGGUGCAUUAGCUAGUUGGUAAGGUAACGGCUUACCAAGGCGACGAUGCAUAGCCGAGUUGAGAGACUGAUCGGCCACAUUGGGACUGAGACACGGCCCAAACUCCUACGGGAGGCAGCAGUAGGGAAUCUUCCACAAUGGACGCAAGUCUGAUGGAGCAACGCCGCGUGGAGGAAGAAGGUUUUCGGAUUGUAAACUCCUGUCGUUAGGGACGAUAAUGACGGUACCUAACAAGAAAGCACCGGCUAACUACGUGCCAGCCGCCGCCGU
Molecule: ribosomal RNA, 501 nt
Filed under: uncultured bacterium
Lineage: Bacteria
Description: bacterial SSU rRNA
Rfam family: Bacterial small subunit ribosomal RNA
Source: RNAcentral